CGGUAUCCUUGCUUUAUGUUUUCUGGUUAUCGUAGUUAAUCCUGCACACUUAACUCAAUAAUAUGGAUUAGAUCACUUAACCCACCAAUUGAUUAUAUCAUCAAAAUCCGAGAUUCAACAAUCUCCCCCUUUUUGAUGAUGACAAUCAAUUGAUGACGGAGUUAAACAUAACUCCCCCUAUCUAUAUGCCAUAUUAUGAGAAGAUAAAAAAACACUUGAAUUCCAUCCCAUUGGAUUCAAGCAUAACCCGAUAA
RNAcentral lists this long non-coding RNA (254 nucleotides) under Musa acuminata (dwarf banana). Its description in RNAcentral is "long non-coding RNA (MACU_LNC011512)". The record is from RNAcentral. Lineage: Eukaryota; Viridiplantae; Streptophyta; Magnoliopsida; Zingiberales; Musaceae.